Molecule: long non-coding RNA, 300 nt
Filed under: Eucalyptus grandis
Lineage: Eukaryota; Viridiplantae; Streptophyta; Magnoliopsida; Myrtales; Myrtaceae
Description: long non-coding RNA (EGRA_LNC004074)
Source: RNAcentral
CUUUGUGAAGUGCUUUGAGCAAAAUGGCAUUUGGGGAAUUACAUUUACAAAGGAUUUUUGUGGUAAAAAAAAAUUAUCAAAAGAAAAAUUUUAAAAAAUUCACCAGCAAGGGCAACGGCCACCGGCGACCUCCAGCGACCUUCGGCGACCCCGGAUCUAGGGCGGCGAGGUCGCACGACGCCCUCUCGACCUCCGGCGACCCCAGAUCUGGGGCGGCAACGUCACACGACGCCGCCUCAACCUCAGCGACCUAGAUCCGGGGCGCCGAGGUCGCGGGAGGACCUCGCCGCCCUAGAUUUG